UCCUGUAUGAACACUUACUUGAAAAACUCGGGAAAUGCAGUGUUCUUUUCUUCCCGAUUAUUUCAAAAGAAGAGUUCCACUUCACACUUCUCACAUUUCACAAAAAUGAACGAAAGUGGAGACACUACAAUCCACUUAGAUCGUUGGGACGUAGAAAAGAAGAAAGGUGCAUUGACAUUGCUCGAAACUUUGUUAAUAUUGUUGAAGGGUGGCUAGAAUAUAUAAGACCUCAAGCACGAGUGUUCAUAGAAAC
Long non-coding RNA from Prunus persica (peach), 253 nucleotides. RefSeq lists it as uncharacterized. NCBI's taxonomy places the organism in Eukaryota, Viridiplantae, Streptophyta, Magnoliopsida, Rosales, Rosaceae. The transcript is spliced from 2 exons. The record is from RefSeq and is a predicted model, not a curated record.